Molecule: ribosomal RNA, 432 nt
Filed under: uncultured bacterium
Lineage: Bacteria
Description: partial 16S ribosomal RNA
Rfam family: Bacterial small subunit ribosomal RNA
Source: RNAcentral
AACGAACGCUGGCGGCAUGCCUAACACAUGCAAGUCGAACGAAACCUUCGGGUCUAGUGGCGCACGGGUGCGUAACGCGUGGGAACCUGCCCUUAGGUUCGGCAUAACUCCCGAAAGGGGUGCUAAUACCGGUUAUUGUCUUCGGACCAUAGAUUUAUCGACUUUGGAUGGGCCCGCGUUGGAUUAGCUAGUUGGUAGGGUAAAAGCCUACCAAGGCGACGAUCCAUAGCUGGUCUGAGAGGAUGAUCAGCCACACUGGGACUGAGACACGGCCCAGACUCCUACGGGAGGCAGCAGUGGGGAAUAUUGGACAAUGGGGGAAAGCCUGAUCCAGCAAUGCCGCGUGAGUGAUGAAGGCAUUAGGGUUGUAAAGCUCUUUUACCCGGGAUGAUAAUGACAGUACCGGGAGAAUAAGCGCCGGCUAACUCCGUG